This 669-nucleotide ribosomal RNA is filed under the name Vibrio parahaemolyticus. RNAcentral's name for it is "partial 23S ribosomal RNA". It matches the Rfam family "Bacterial large subunit ribosomal RNA", at positions 2269 to 2925 of the family's 2925-position model. The record is from RNAcentral. Lineage: Bacteria; Pseudomonadati; Pseudomonadota; Gammaproteobacteria; Vibrionales; Vibrionaceae.
UUUGACUGGGGCGGUCUCCUCCCAAAGAGUAACGGAGGAGCACGAAGGUGGGCUAAUCACGGUUGGACAUCGUGAGGUUAGUGCAAUGGCAUAAGCCCGCUUGACUGCGAGAAUGACAAUUCGAGCAGGUGCGAAAGCAGGUCAUAGUGAUCCGGUGGUUCUGAAUGGAAGGGCCAUCGCUCAACGGAUAAAAGGUACUCCGGGGAUAACAGGCUGAUACCGCCCAAGAGUUCAUAUCGACGGCGGUGUUUGGCACCUCGAUGUCGGCUCAUCACAUCCUGGGGCUGAAGUCGGUCCCAAGGGUAUGGCUGUUCGCCAUUUAAAGUGGUACGCGAGCUGGGUUUAGAACGUCGUGAGACAGUUCGGUCCCUAUCUGCCGUGGGCGUUGGAAGAUUGAAGGGGGCUGCUCCUAGUACGAGAGGACCGGAGUGGACGAACCUCUGGUGUUCGGGUUGUGUCGCCAGACGCAUUGCCCGGUAGCUAAGUUCGGAAUCGAUAACCGCUGAAAGCAUCUAAGCGGGAAGCGAGCCCUGAGAUGAGUCUUCCCUGAUACUUUAAGUAUCCUAAAGGGUUGUCGGAGACUACGACGUUGAUAGGUCAGGUGUGUAAGUGCUGUGAGGCAUUGAGCUAACUGAUACUAAUUGCCCGUGAGGCUUAACCAUACAACAC